UACGUAGGGGGCAAGCGUUGUCCGGAUUUACUGGGCGUAAAGAGCGCGCAGGCGGUCGAUCAAGUCGAGUGUGAAAGCCCCCGGCUCAACUGGGGAGGGUCAUUCGAUACUGAUCGACUCGAAGGCAGGAGAGGGUAGUGGAAUUCCCGGUGUAGUGGUGAAAUGCGUAGAUAUCGGGAGGAACACCAGUGGCGAAGGCGACUACCUGGCCUGUUCUUGACGCUGAGGCGCGAAAGCUAGGGGAGCAAACGGGG
RNAcentral lists this ribosomal RNA (254 nucleotides) under uncultured bacterium. RNAcentral's name for it is "partial 16S ribosomal RNA". It matches the Rfam family "Bacterial small subunit ribosomal RNA", at positions 524 to 777 of the family's 1533-position model. The record is from RNAcentral.